UACGGAGGGUGCGAGCGUUGUUCGGAAUCACUGGGCGUAAAGGGCGUGUAGGCGGUCCGCUAAGUCUGACGUGAAAGCCCGGGGCUCACCCCCGGAAGGGCAUUGGAAACUGGCGGACUCGAGUCCCGGAGAGGAAGGUGGAAUUCCUGGUGUAGCGGUGAAAUGCGUAGAUAUCAGGAGGAAUACCGGUGGCGAAGGCGGCCUUCUGGACGGUGACUGACGCUGAGACGCGAAAGCGUGGGGAGCAAACAGG
Molecule: ribosomal RNA, 253 nt
Filed under: uncultured bacterium
Lineage: Bacteria
Description: partial 16S ribosomal RNA
Rfam family: Bacterial small subunit ribosomal RNA
Source: RNAcentral